Molecule: long non-coding RNA, 787 nt
Filed under: Homo sapiens (human)
Lineage: Eukaryota; Metazoa; Chordata; Mammalia; Primates; Hominidae
Description: non-protein coding lnc-IDI1-5:1
Source: RNAcentral
GAAAAAUGAAGUAAAUUAGCACCUACAGAAUUGAAACUUGGCCGUCCCUGGGAUCUUCAACAUCCAUAGAUGGUGGACUAAACACAGGUGCGAACCCACGCGACGCCGGCAGGUCCAGGCACAGGUGCAAACCCACGCGACGCUGGGUACAGGUGCAAACCUACACAACGCCAGAAGGUCCAGGCACAGGGGCAAACCCACGCAACGCUGGGUACAGGUGCAAACCUACACAACGCCAGAAGGUCCAGGCACAGGGGCAAACCCACGCAACGCUGGCAGGUCCAGGCACAGGUGCAAACCUACACAACGCCAGAAGGUCCAGGCACAGGGGCAAACCCAUGCAACGCUGGCAGGUCCAGGCACAGGUGCAAACCUACACGAUGCUGGACACAGGUGCAAACCCAUGCAACGCCAGCAGGUCCGGGCACAGGUGCAAACCUACACUACGCUGGACACAGGUGCAAACCUACAUGACGCUGGACACAGGUGCAAACCUACACGAUGCUGGACACAGGUGCAAACCUAUGUGUCACCGGCAGGUCCGGGUACAGGUGCAAAGCUACACAACGCUGGACACAGGUGCGAACCCACGCAAUGCCAGGUCUGGGCACAGGUACAAACCUACAUGAUGCUGGACACGUGCAAACCCACGCGAUGCCAGCAGGUCUGGGCACAGGUGCAAACCCACGCAACACUGGCAGGUCCGGGCACAGGUGCAAACCCACGAGAUGCUGGACACAGAUGCAAACCCACACAACGCUGGCAGGUCCAAGCACUCAGUGGCCAC